RNAcentral lists this ribosomal RNA (535 nucleotides) under Trigonopterus sp. 855 AR-2022a. RNAcentral describes it as "partial large subunit ribosomal RNA". It matches the Rfam family "Bacterial large subunit ribosomal RNA", at positions 1819 to 2625 of the family's 2925-position model. The record is from RNAcentral. Lineage: Eukaryota; Metazoa; Arthropoda; Insecta; Coleoptera; Curculionidae.
GGCUUGUUGAUUUUAAUUUCAAGUCUUACCUGCCCAAUGAGGAGUUGAAUGGCCGCAGUAUACUGACUGUGCAAAGGUAGCAUAAUCACUAGUUUCUUAAUUGGAAGCUUGCAUGAAAGGUUUGAUGAGAGAAUAACUGUCUCUAUUAAAAUUUUAUAGAAUUUUAUUUUUAAGUAAAAAAGCUUAAAUAUGUAUAGAAGACGAGAAGACCCUAUAGAGUUUUAUAUUUUUGUGAAAUAUUUUAUUUUAGGAUUAUAAGAGGAUUUUUUAUAUAAAUAUUUUGUUGGGGUGAUAGAAAAAUUAGUUAAACUUUUUUUGCAUAAGAACAUUGAUUGAUGAGAAAAUGAUCCUAAAUUUUAGAUUAUAAGAUUAAAUUACCUUAGGGAUAACAGCGUAAUUUUUUUUAGAGUUCUUAUCGAAAAAAAAGGUUGCGACCUCGAUGUUGGAUUAAAAUUUAUAAUUGGUGAAGAAGCUGAUUUAUUAGGUCUGUUCGACCUUUAAAAUUUUACAUGAUCUGAGUUUAAACCGGCGUGAG